UGGGGAAUUUUGGACAAUGGGCGAAAGCCUGAUCCAGCAAUGCCGCGUGAGUGAAGAAGGCCUUCGGGUUGUAAAGCUCUUUUGUCAGGGAAGAAACGGUGAGGGCUAAUAUCCCUUGCUAAUGACGGUACCUGAAGAAUAAGCACCGGCUAACUAUGUGCCAGCAGCCGCGGUAAUACGUAGGGUGCAAGCGUUAAUCGGAAUUACUGGGCGUAAAGCGUGCGCAGGCGGUUUUGUAAGUCUGAUGUGAAAUCCCCGGGCUCAACCUGGGAAUUGCAUUGGAGACUGCAAGGCUAGAAUCUGGCAGAGGGGGGUAGAAUUCCACGUGUAGCAGUGAAAUGCGUAGAUAUGUGGAGGAACACCGAUGGCGAAGGCAGCCCCCUGGGUCAAGAUUGACGCUCAUGCACGAAAGCGUGGGGAGCAAACA
This 427-nucleotide ribosomal RNA is filed under the name uncultured bacterium. RNAcentral describes it as "partial 16S ribosomal RNA". It matches the Rfam family "Bacterial small subunit ribosomal RNA", at positions 355 to 774 of the family's 1533-position model. The record is from RNAcentral.